Molecule: ribosomal RNA, 304 nt
Filed under: uncultured bacterium
Lineage: Bacteria
Description: partial 16S ribosomal RNA
Rfam family: Bacterial small subunit ribosomal RNA
Source: RNAcentral
CAGCAGUCGCCGCGGUAAUACGUAGGUGGCAAGCGUUGUCCGGAUUUAUUGGGCGUAAAGCGAGCGCAGGCGGUUCCUUAAGUCUGAUGUGAAAGCCCACGGCUCAACCGUGGAAGGUCAUUGGAAACUGGGGAACUUGAGUGCAGAAGAGGAGAGUGGAAUUCCAUGUGUAGCGGUGAAAUGCGUAGAGAUGUGGAGGAACACCAGUGGCGAAGGCGACUCUCUGGUCUGUAACUGACGCUGAGGAGCGAAAGCGUGGGGAGCGAACAGGAUUAGAUACCCCGGUAGUCCCUGUCUCUUAUAC